RNAcentral lists this ribosomal RNA (254 nucleotides) under uncultured bacterium. RNAcentral's name for it is "partial 16S ribosomal RNA". It matches the Rfam family "Bacterial small subunit ribosomal RNA", at positions 524 to 776 of the family's 1533-position model. The record is from RNAcentral.
UACGUAGGGUGCGAGCGUUGUCCGGAAUUAUUGGGCGUAAAGAGCUCGUAGGCGGUGUGUCACGUCGGCCGUGAAAACCUGCAGCUUAACUGUGGGCGUGCGGUCGAUACGGGUAUCACUGGAGUUCGGCAGGGGAGACUGGAAUUCCUGGUGUAGCGGUGAAAUGCGCAGAUAUCAGGAGGAACACCGGUGGCGAAGGCGGGUCUCUGGGCCGAUACUGACGCUGAGGAGCGAAAGCGUGGGGAGCAAACAGG